GGACAUUUCAAUGAAGACUAGAGAGUGAGAUGAAGCAUGUGCUAGAGUGAGAUGGCAACAAUGCACUUUUGCCAAGACACAAAAAUGCAAAGUACCAAAAAAAACAACACUAACAACAAUUUGUAUUUCUUAUGCCUUGGUGCUUGGUCGAAAAUAUAAAAAUUACUUCGUUUACAUUUACAAGCAUUCAGGGAUAAGUGAGAAAGAGAGAGAGGGAGACAGAGGCAGGAAAAGAGAGAGAAAGAUAGUGCGAAUAUGGCAGCAAACGGUCACGCAGUGACCAGACAAGCAAUAACACUUGACGCACGUCCGGGCUACCCGUGUACGUGUUCCGGAGUAGCCACUCAGGUGGUUUGAUGGUGCAACCUACCGAAAGAAGAAAAAUUGGGAGAAAGUGGCACAGAGAGAGCAAGUGAGGUGUGCAUGACUAGCAGUUGGUUG
Long non-coding RNA from Drosophila arizonae, 441 nucleotides. The record is from RefSeq and is a predicted model, not a curated record. Lineage: Eukaryota; Metazoa; Arthropoda; Insecta; Diptera; Drosophilidae.